RNAcentral lists this ribosomal RNA (371 nucleotides) under uncultured bacterium. RNAcentral's name for it is "bacterial SSU rRNA". It matches the Rfam family "Bacterial small subunit ribosomal RNA", at positions 28 to 402 of the family's 1533-position model. The record is from RNAcentral.
GACGAACGCUGGCGGCGUGCUUAACACAUGCAAGUCGAGCGGUAAGGCCCUUUCGGGGGUACACGAGCGGCGAACGGGUGAGUAACACGUGGGUGACCUGCCCUCAGCUCUGGGAUAAGCCUGGGAAACUGGGUCUAAUACUGGAUAUGACUCCACGGUGCAUGUCGUGGGGUGGAAAGCCUUGUGCGGCUGAGGAUGGGCCCGCGGCCUAUCAGCUUGUUGGUGGGGUGAGGCCUACCAAGGCGACGACGGGUAGCCGGCCUGAGAGGCGACCGGCCACACUGGGACUGAGACACGGCCCAGACUCCUACGGGAGGCAGCAGUGGGGAAUCUUGCGCAAUGGGCGAAAGCCUGACGCAGCGACGCCGCGU